GGACUCAGCAGUGAAGGAGCUGCUUGAUCUACAGCAGAGUCCAACCUGUCGACUGGAGACUCUGAGGUGGGAGGAGUCUUAGUGGAGCUGAGUGUGAAGAGGACAGUGUGUGUGGACGGAGGCUGAGCUGUGUCCUGAGGAUCCAGAGGCUGAAGCAGCAGCAGCUUGUGUGUAGUCUCCAAUCUACACAACCCCUAAUCUGCAUGUGUUUGUGAGAUGAAGCCGGAGCACCUGGAGAAAACACGGGGAGAACAUGCAGACUCCACACAGGAAGACCCAUCUGAACCGGAUUCAAACCAGCAACCUUCCUGCCCCGAUUGUGUUUAUUCACAUGAAGAAUGUGUUUAUUGAAAUGACACAACACAAGCAGAAUAUAUAAACCUUCUAUAAAGACUCACAUACAGUGUGUUUAAGUUUGUCUUUAUUAUUGUCCACCUUUGUCCCUCAGUCUGUCUCCAUGUGUGUAGAACCACAUUCUGUGUAGAUGUUUGUUUAUGAUCUUAAAGUUCCUGGAUUCACGUCACAAAUUGAUUUAGUUCAACACAAAGUUCAACACAUUGAAAUCACUUUGAGUUUAAAAUCAGAGUUUUGUCUUUGACACAAAAGAUCAAAACUCUGGACUUAAAAAUGGGACGUUUUCAUUUCUGCAUCAGGUGCAGAGCGGUGGUGGCUUUUCUACUUUUGACCCACAGGUGGCGCUGCAGUAUAACAGCAGCACAUCCCAGUCAAAGCCUUUAUAUUCAGUCUAUGAGUCAAACACAUGGAUCAUUUCCUCUGUGACAAACCAGAUGUAACGAGAAGAAAAACAUCUCAGAGAGAAAAGUUCUGUUUCUACUUGUCUCUGCUUUAAUGCUCAAUAAACAUCCUUCCACCGA
Long non-coding RNA from Limanda limanda (common dab), 875 nucleotides. RefSeq lists it as uncharacterized. The record is from RefSeq and is a predicted model, not a curated record. The transcript has 2 exons. NCBI's taxonomy places the organism in Eukaryota, Metazoa, Chordata, Actinopteri, Pleuronectiformes, Pleuronectidae.